RNAcentral lists this ribosomal RNA (1450 nucleotides) under bacterium. Its description in RNAcentral is "bacterial SSU rRNA". It matches the Rfam family "Bacterial small subunit ribosomal RNA". The record is from RNAcentral.
CCCCCCCCGUUUCAAGGACACUCCUGCCUAAUAGAUGGCGGCAAAGGACUUUUUCUGUGUUUGCGGGGGGCGGGUAAUACCUGGGGGAACCCCCCAUAAAGGUGGAUCCUCGGGAAACCGGGGUCUAACCCGGGUUGUUUUUUAACCCCCAUGGUUCAGCAUAAAAGGUGGUUUGGGCUACCAUUAAAAGAUGCCCCCGCGGCCCUAUAACUAUGUUGUGAGGUAACGGUUCCACAAGGGGGAGGGUGGGUAGCCGCCCUUGAGGAGGUGAUGGCCCCACUUGGGACUGAAACACGGCCCAGACUCCUACGGGAGGCAGCAGUAGGGAAUCUUCCGCAAUGGACGAAAGUCUGACGGAGCAACGCCGCGUGAGUGAUGAAGGUUUUCGGAUCGUAAAGCUCUGUUGUUAGGGAAGAACAAGUGCCGUUCAAAUAGGGCGGCACCUUGACGGUACCUAACCAGAAAGCCACGGCUAACUACGUGCCAGCAGCCGCGGUAAUACGUAGGUGGCAAGCGUUGUCCGGAAUUAUUGGGCGUAAAGGGCUCGCAGGCGGUUUCUUAAGUCUGAUGUGAAAGCCCCCGGCUCAACCGGGGAGGGUCAUUGGAAACUGGGGAACUUGAGUGCAGAAGAGGAGAGUGGAAUUCCACGUGUAGCGGUGAAAUGCGUAGAGAUGUGGAGGAACACCAGUGGCGAAGGCGACUCUCUGGUCUGUAACUGACGCUGAGGAGCGAAAGCGUGGGGAGCGAACAGGAUUAGAUACCCUGGUAGUCCACGCCGUAAACGAUGAGUGCUAAGUGUUAGGGGGUUUCCGCCCCUUAGUGCUGCAGCUAACGCAUUAAGCACUCCGCCUGGGGAGUACGGUCGCAAGACUGAAACUCAAAGGAAUUGACGGGGGCCCGCACAAGCGGUGGAGCAUGUGGUUUAAUUCGAAGCAACGCGAAGAACCUUACCAGGUCUUGACAUCCUCUGACAAUCCUAGAGAUAGGACGUCCCCUUCGGGGGCAGAGUGACAGGUGGUGCAUGGUUGUCGUCAGCUCGUGUCGUGAGAUGUUGGGUUAAGUCCCGCAACGAGCGCAACCCUUGAUCUUAGUUGCCAGCAUUCAGUUGGGCACUCUAAGGUGACUGCCGGUGACAAACCGGAGGAAGGUGGGGAUGACGUCAAAUCAUCAUGCCCCUUAUGACCUGGGCUACACACGUGCUACAAUGGACAGAACAAAGGGCAGCGAAACCGCGAGGUUAAGCCAAUCCCACAAAUCUGUUCUCAGUUCGGAUCGCAGUCUGCAACUCGACUGCGUGAAGCUGGAAUCGCUAGUAAUCGCGGAUCAGCAUGCCGCGGUGAAUACGUUCCCGGGCCUUGUACACACCGCCCGUCACACCACGAGAGUUUGUAACACCCGAAGUCGGUGAGGUAACCUUUUAGGAGCCAGCCGCCGAAGGUGACAGAAUGGG